Molecule: ribosomal RNA, 484 nt
Filed under: uncultured bacterium
Lineage: Bacteria
Description: partial 16S ribosomal RNA
Rfam family: Bacterial small subunit ribosomal RNA
Source: RNAcentral
AUUGAACGCUGGCGGCAGGCCUAACACAUGCAAGUCGAGCGGAUGAAGUGAGCUUGCUCCUGGAUUCAGCGGCGGACGGGAGAGUAAUGCCUAGGAAUCUGCCUGGUAGUGGGAGAUAACGUCCGUAAACGGGCGCUAAUACCGCAUACGUCCUGAGGUAGAAAGUGUGGGAUCUUCGGACCUCACGCUAUCACAUGAGCCUAGGUCGGAUUAGCUAGUUGGUGGGGUAAAGGCCUACCAAGGCGACGAUCCGUAACUGGUCUGAGAGGAUGAUCAGUCACACUGGAACUGAGACACGGUCCAGACUCCUACGGGAGGCAGCAGUGGGGAAUAUUGGACAAUGGGCGUAAGCCUGAUCCAGCCAUGCCGCGUGUAUGAAGAAGGUCUUCGGAUUGUAAAGCACUUUAAGUUGGGAGGAAGGGCAGGAAGUUAAUACCUUGCUGUUUUGACGUUACCAACAGAAUAAGCACCGGCUAACUUCGUG